GUUGUAGUUCUCACACCACUAACCCUACAGGUCCGAGCGCGAGCGGGGCGGUGGAGGACCGUGGCAAGGGUAUUGCACCAUAGCUAGUGGCCACCGGGACUUAUGCAUUAGUCAUUCCUUUUGCCCACAUGAAUCAACUUUUAUUUUGUUUAUUUAGAAUUGUAAAGUUGAAAACAUAUCAUGUAUUUUGGAGAAUGACGAAAAUGUAAAGAAUUAUGGUUGAAUGGAAAAAGAUGUAAUAGUUUUAGUUCACUUGUAUUUGGUUUAAAUCUAAUUAAAUAUCAUGUAUGGUUAUAUGUUUAGCUUAGAGCUU
RNAcentral lists this long non-coding RNA (313 nucleotides) under Ananas comosus (pineapple). RNAcentral's name for it is "long non-coding RNA (ACOM_LNC041376)". Lineage: Eukaryota; Viridiplantae; Streptophyta; Magnoliopsida; Poales; Bromeliaceae. The record is from RNAcentral.